UGGGUUUGACAUGCUAGUUAAAGCGGGUGAAAGCCCGUGUCCGUAAGGGGCUAGCACAGGUGCUGCAUGGCUGUCGUCAGCUCGUGCCGUGAGGUGUUGGCUUAAGUGCCGCAACGAGCGCAACCCCUGCUCUUAGUUGCCAGCGGGUAAUGCCGGGGACUCUAAGAGGACUGCCGGGGACAACUCGGAGGAAGGUGGGGAUGACGUAGACCUUGGACC
RNAcentral lists this unclassified non-coding RNA (219 nucleotides) under uncultured Actinomycetes bacterium. RNAcentral describes it as "uncultured actinobacterium contains 16S-23S intergenic spacer region". It matches the Rfam family "Bacterial small subunit ribosomal RNA", at positions 976 to 1201 of the family's 1533-position model. The record is from RNAcentral. Lineage: Bacteria; Bacillati; Actinomycetota; Actinomycetes.